UACGUAGGGUCCGAGCGUUGUCCGGAAUUAUUGGGCGUAAAGAGCUCGUAGGCGGUUCGUCACGUCGGCUGUGAAAUCCCGAGGCUCAACCUCGGGUCUGCAGUCGAUACGGGCGGACUUGAGUACUGCAGGGGAGACUGGAAUUCCUGGUGUAGCGGUGAAAAUGCGCAGAUAUCAGGAGGAACACCGAUGGCGAAGGCAGAUCUCUGGGCCGUAACUGACGCUGAGGAGCGAAAGCGUGGGGGAGCGAACAGG
RNAcentral lists this ribosomal RNA (255 nucleotides) under uncultured bacterium. RNAcentral describes it as "partial 16S ribosomal RNA". It matches the Rfam family "Bacterial small subunit ribosomal RNA", at positions 524 to 776 of the family's 1533-position model. The record is from RNAcentral.